GGGGGCGUUUUUGGAUUCGACGGGGAUAGUUCGAGCAUGGGUUGCGGGUAGCGGGGACGCGUCCGCUUCAUCAACGCUAAGGCCAAUUAAAUGGCAACCAACGUACUUCCUACGCUGUAGCAGCCUAAAAAACUGCUCGCGUGCUCUUACCCUCCAUCGCCCAUGUGGCGGGAUAAGGGCUCAACCUUAGUGGGCUACGCCGUCUGGUCUCCGCCUGGGGCUAGCGGAAGAAGACAAUCAGGCUGACCCUUGCGAAAGCCGGUUACGGGGCGGUCGCUCGGGUGACAACAAUACCGUGACUACACCCGUAGAAGCCUGUGUGGCGUUAUCUUCGGACAGGGGUUCGAAUCCCCUCGCCUCCACCA
Molecule: non-coding RNA, 365 nt
Organism: Thermobacillus composti KWC4
Lineage: Bacteria; Bacillati; Bacillota; Bacilli; Caryophanales; Paenibacillaceae
Rfam family: transfer-messenger RNA
About the family: Bacterial tmRNA, also known as 10Sa RNA or SsrA, is named for its dual tRNA and mRNA-like properties. Its role is to liberate the mRNA from a stalled ribosome.
Source: Rfam